AGAGUUUGAUCCUGGCUCAGGAUGAACGCUAGCGGCAGGCUUAACACAUGCAAGUCAGGGGCAGGCAUAAUGGAUAGCAAUAUCUAUGGUGGCGACCGGCGCACGGGUGCGUAACGCGUAUGCAACCUACCUUUAACAGGGGGAUAACACUGAGAAAUUGGUACUAAUACCCCAUAAUAUCAUAGAAGGCAUCUUUUAUGGUUGAAAAUUCCGAUGGUUAGAGAUGGGCAUGCGUUGUAUUAGCUAGUUGGUGGGGUAACGGCGUCACCAAGGCGACGAUACAUAGGAGGGACUGAGAGGUUAACCCCCCCACCACUGGUACUGAGACACGGACCAGACUCCUACGGGAGGCAGCA
This 356-nucleotide ribosomal RNA is filed under the name uncultured bacterium. RNAcentral's name for it is "bacterial SSU rRNA". It matches the Rfam family "Bacterial small subunit ribosomal RNA", at positions 8 to 353 of the family's 1533-position model. The record is from RNAcentral.